Caenorhabditis elegans is the source of this 21-nucleotide non-coding RNA. The record is from Ensembl. NCBI's taxonomy places the organism in Eukaryota, Metazoa, Nematoda, Chromadorea, Rhabditida, Rhabditidae.
UAGUUUUGAAAUGUGUAUAGA